Molecule: long non-coding RNA, 287 nt
Filed under: Nicotiana benthamiana
Lineage: Eukaryota; Viridiplantae; Streptophyta; Magnoliopsida; Solanales; Solanaceae
Description: long non-coding RNA (NBEN_LNC001655)
Source: RNAcentral
AAGACUACAAAGCAGGAAUGGAUGCCUAAAGCUAAUGCAGAUACACUGGUAAGCUUAACAAUACCUGCAAAUACAUUGCCUAGCCUGCCUGUACAAUCUGUCCAACAUGAGGAGAAGAUGUAGAGGGUGCAGAUUAACACUGAUAUGAUUGCAAGUCAGAGGAAUGUAUUAGAUGACCCUGCCAAUCAGGAAAGUACUGCUAGUGGUGAUACAGAGAUUUUGGUUGACCAUGACAAGGGCAAGGCUGUUGCUGAUUUUCUUGAUGAUGGUAGGAGGGGACAACAGCU